This is a non-coding RNA of Pelobates cultripes (western spadefoot toad), 614 nucleotides long. The record is from the annotation of a GenBank genome assembly. NCBI's taxonomy places the organism in Eukaryota, Metazoa, Chordata, Amphibia, Anura, Pelobatidae.
AGAAAAGACGGGUUUUAUUCUUUAGAACAGACCUGCUGUAUUUCUGAGCUCCUAUUGUAUAGUUAACGUUGUAAGAAGCAACACAAGGUACUUCAAUCAGUAAGCUAAUGCUUAUCUUUUAGCUGGUCUGUAGUUCUUAGAAUGGAACCUUCAAGGUAAAAGAUUCUUAUCUCAUGUGCCUUCGAGGGCCCCCCUUAAUAAAAAAACCUGUCUAUUCUGUCUUAUGCCCACCGCUUGAAAUUAGUAAUAAGUAAAGGUAAAUAGUCGAUCUUAGGACUGCUAGAUCCCUAAAAAUGUAUACACCAGGUCAGUAUUCUGUCAGUGCAGAUCUGGGCAAUUACCGAUUAGAUGUCCUGAGCCCCUGACUCACGCGUUUCGCCAGGAUCGCUCAUCAGAGGGGAACUGAAGACAAGCAAGUGUCUGAUUUUUAAACUAGCAACUCAUCGAUGGUUGGCUGAGCACUUUGUACAGCCUGCCAAUCAUGAGAGAGGAGGGCAUCCUCUUAUUUGCAAACUAUUUAACCCUUACGUUGCUUACCUAAUACAUGAAAAGAAAUCUCUUAUGGAGUAAAUGUUAAUAAUUCAUAUCUCAUCCGUAUGUUAUGUUGUAAUGGC